ACGCCUCAAAUUUCCAUAAACCUCGGUCUAAACUCCCACCUCCCACCUCCCACGAAACCCUCAACUACUCAUCUGAAAACCAACUUGUGAACUCGCUGCUUCCUCUUCUUCACCACAACCGAAUCGCUCCUUGGCUAUGCCGAGGUUUUGAAGGGCUACCCAUCAAAUAAUUAGAUUGUAAAUUGUUGCAGUACAAUAACCCUCGAGGAUUAUUUUCUCUUGAGUGUUGACGUCUAUAGGUUACUGGGAAGAAGUAUUGAUUUGAGAUGCCUGAUCUCACAACGUAUGAACAAGGCAUUCAGAGAGAAUCUGAAAUUUUUGUUUGAUCGUUUUGAGUCCCAAGAUAUAUGUGCUAUCGUGAUUAUUGAUGAUUCAAGUGGUAAUGGUAAAAUAUAGAUCAAGAUUAACAAGUUAUGUUGAAGCAGCUAACAUAGCAAUAGGUUUACUUGGUAAUUAGUUCGGUUUCCUUGGUAUUUAGUUUUGGACUAUCUUAUAGAAAAAAUGAUGUUAUAAAGUUGUUUUUGUUAUAACAUAUUGCUUUUACUUCAGUUUGACUAGACUCUGCAAAUUAAUCCAAUGUAUGGAUGAUUGUUAUCACUUUUUAUAAAUUAAUCAAAGCACGACGUUACGUUGUUUUA
Molecule: long non-coding RNA, 638 nt
Organism: Spinacia oleracea (spinach)
Lineage: Eukaryota; Viridiplantae; Streptophyta; Magnoliopsida; Caryophyllales; Amaranthaceae
Exons: 4
Source: RefSeq, a predicted model, not a curated record